AGAGUUUGAUCAUGGCUCAGGAUGAACGCUAGCGGGAGGCCUAACACAUGCAAGCCGAGCGGUAGAGAUUCUUCGGAAUCUUGAGAGCGGCGUACGGGUGCGUAACACGUGUGCAACCUGCCUUUAUCUGGGAGAUAGCCUUUCGAAAGGAAGAUUAAUAUCCCAUAAUAUAUUGAUUGGCAUCGAUUGAUAUUGAAAGCUCCGGCGGAUAAAGAUGGGCACGCGCAAGAUUAGAUAGUUGGUGAGGUAACGGCUCACCAAGUCGAUGAUCUUUAGGGGGCCUGAGAGGGUGAUCCCCCACACUGGUACUGAGACACGGACCAGACUCCUACGGGAGGCAGCAGUGAGGAAUAUUGGACAAUGGGUGGAAGCCUGAUCCAGCCAUCCCGCGUGAAGGAAUAAGGGCCUAUGGCUUGUAAACUUCUUUUGUACAGGGAUAAACCUACCCUCGUGAGGGUAGCUGAAGGUACUGUACGAAUAAGCACCGGCUAACUCCGUGCCAGCAGCCGCGGUAAUACGGAGGGUGCAAGCGUUAUCCGGAUUUAUUGGGUUUAAAGGGUCCGUAGGCGGGCUUAUAAGUCAGUGGUGAAAGCCGGCAGCUUAACUGUCGAACUGCCAUUGAUACUGUAAGUCUUGAGUAUAUUUGAGGUAGCUGGAAUAAGUAGUGUAGCGGUGAAAUGCAUAGAUAUUACUUAGAACACCAAUUGCGAAGGCAGGUUACCAAGUUAUAACUGACGCUGAUGGACGAAAGCGUGGGGAGCGAACAGGAUUAGAUACCCUGGUAGUCC
RNAcentral lists this ribosomal RNA (788 nucleotides) under uncultured bacterium. RNAcentral describes it as "bacterial SSU rRNA". It matches the Rfam family "Bacterial small subunit ribosomal RNA", at positions 8 to 796 of the family's 1533-position model. The record is from RNAcentral.